CUGGAUGCGCAAGCAUCUGGAGGAAAGUCCGGGCCCCAUAGAGCAGGAUGCCGGCUAACGGCCGGGCGCAGCAAGUCGCAAGACCCAAGGCGACAGACAGUGCAACAGAAAGAUACCGCCGAAGCCUGGCUUUGACGCCGCAAGGCGGCGAAGCCCUCCUCCCGAAAGGGAGGGGAAAGGGCUGGUAAGGGUGAAAUGGUGGUGUAAGAGACCACCGCGUGGCUGGUAACAGUUCACGGCACGGCAAACCUCAUCCGGGGCAAGGCCAAAUAGGGGAGUAAUGACGUUGCUCGCGUCGCUCCCGGGUAGGCUGCUAGAGGCCGUCGGCAACGACGGUCCCAGAGGAAUGGCUGCCCACGACAGAACCCGGCUUAUCGGCGGACUUCCAUC
RNAcentral lists this RNase P RNA (390 nucleotides) under Desulfobacterales bacterium. RNAcentral describes it as "partial RNase P RNA component class A". It matches the Rfam family "Bacterial RNase P class A". From Rfam's summary of the family: Ribonuclease P (RNase P) is a ubiquitous endoribonuclease, found in archaea, bacteria and eukarya as well as chloroplasts and mitochondria. Its best characterised activity is the generation of mature 5'-ends of tRNAs by cleaving the 5'-leader elements of precursor-tRNAs. Cellular RNase Ps are ribonucleoproteins. The record is from RNAcentral. Lineage: Bacteria; Pseudomonadati; Thermodesulfobacteriota; Desulfobacteria; Desulfobacterales.